GGUCCUGGAACCAAUUCCUCAUGAUUACCAAGUGACAACAUGUAUACAGCGAUGCAGGACUUCUGGUGGCCACAUGUCAGUCAGAAGAAGACUAUGAGACUCUUGCAACAGUGGAGAAAACACAAUACUCUGAGGCCUUGGAAUAUGUUUCUUUUUAAAUGGCCCCACCAACCAGAAAAUCAGAUAUGGCAAAGAGGCACUGGCUCCUGAAUAUCUGUGCAAAUAAGCAGAAAGAAAAACAGAACAAACAAAACAUCGCUUACUACUAAUAAUAGGACAGCAUUAUUUCCACACAAGACUGAUGAAACACUGCAGUUACAAACUACUUUGUGUUUGUGUGUCUUGACUUUGUUGUUUGCUUUGUUUUUUUAAUCACCAUCUCCAUUCCGGGGGCCAUUUUUAUCAUAUAUCUCCAAGAAAUAUAUGGGUAUAAGCAUACAUAGAAACAGCAGGCAUCAAUUUCUAAAAACUCUGUGUCAACUUCACCUAAGUGAAGUUCUUUUCUUGCACUGAUGAGAAAAAUGUAAACAUCAAGUAUUAUGAAAAUAAUCUGUGGUAGAAAAGGAGACGACUAACAUGUUCUGAAUAAUUGAAGCACUGCCUUUCCUAAAUUUACUGACUAAAAAAUUGUGACAUUUUAG
RNAcentral lists this long non-coding RNA (641 nucleotides) under Homo sapiens (human). RNAcentral describes it as "HSALNT0202841". The record is from RNAcentral. Lineage: Eukaryota; Metazoa; Chordata; Mammalia; Primates; Hominidae.